RNAcentral lists this ribosomal RNA (392 nucleotides) under Klebsiella pneumoniae. RNAcentral's name for it is "bacterial LSU rRNA". It matches the Rfam family "Bacterial large subunit ribosomal RNA", at positions 2551 to 2925 of the family's 2925-position model. Lineage: Bacteria; Pseudomonadati; Pseudomonadota; Gammaproteobacteria; Enterobacterales; Enterobacteriaceae. The record is from RNAcentral.
GGCUGAAGUAGGUCCCAAGGGUAUGGCUGUUCGCCAUUUAAAGUGGUACGCGAGCUGGGUUUAGAACGUCGUGAGACAGUUCGGUCCCUAUCUGCCGUGGGCGCUGGAGAAUUGAGGGGGGCUGCUCCUAGUACGAGAGGACCGGAGUGGACGCAUCACUGGUGUUCGGGUUGUCAUGCCAAUGGCACUGCCCGGUAGCUAAAUGCGGAAGAGAUAAGUGCUGAAAGCAUCUAAGCACGAAACUUGCCCCGAGAUGAGUUCUCCCUGAGACUAUAAGUCUCCUGAAGGAACGUUGAAGACGACGACGUUGAUAGGCCGGGUGUGUAAGCGCAGCGAUGCGUUGAGCUAACCGGUACUAAUGAACCGUGAGGCUUAACCUUACAACGCCGAAG